ACUGACAACAUCGACUUUGAAGUUGCACUGACCUGGCCAGCCCUGCCACUUACCAGGCUGUGGCUUGCCUUUUCACUUCUUGUGUCCUGUUUAAGAAAUAUCUGCUAUCCCAAGAUAACACUAACAAAGUUGACCUUAGAAUUGGAGUGCCUGGGUUAGAACCCUGCUGGUACCACCUGCUUACUGCAUGCUUCUGAUGUGAGUUCAGGAGAAGACACUGGCAAGGACAGCAAAGAACAGGAGAACACUCUAGCUUCCCUGAUAGCAUUCAAGGUGCUGUCCAAAGCUCUUGAGUUUCUGCUUUCAAGUGACCCUCAGAAAUUCCUCCAUUCACUGCAGAGGUUCUGUUUCUCCUUGCUUUGUUCUGACUUUACGGCAGAACUAAGCUAAUGAGUUAGUUACUAUGGGUUAUCACUUGGAUUUGAAGAACCAUCAUUUCUAGGCAUUGCUGCUCAGAGUGGGUCUGCCCUCAGGGGAAGCUGUCUAACCAGAGCCUAACCCACUAGGGUUUUAUCAGAACCUAACUGACCUGAGGAAAAGAAAUACUCAACUCCAGCAAGCUCCAGCCUUCCAAAUGGAGGAGGAGAAAACCCAACUCCAGCCCACUUCAGCUAUCUUGUCCCACAUAAAGGGGAAGUGGAAGAAACCUGAGAAGCAGGCAUGAAGUUCACAGUCCAGAGGUACAGACACAUCAGAGUUCAGUAUCUGAUGAAUUAGAUGCAAAAACCUCAACAAAGUAUUAGCAAAUUGAAUUCAACAAUGUAUGAAAAUUAUUACAUGCCAUGACUAAUUGGAAUUUAUCUCAGGUAUACAAGCCACGCUGAACAUCUGAAAAUCAAUUCAUGUGAUCCAUCACAUUAGCAGACUCAA
Molecule: long non-coding RNA, 870 nt
Filed under: Homo sapiens (human)
Lineage: Eukaryota; Metazoa; Chordata; Mammalia; Primates; Hominidae
Description: cancer susceptibility 19
Source: RNAcentral